Molecule: ribosomal RNA, 250 nt
Filed under: uncultured bacterium
Lineage: Bacteria
Description: partial 16S ribosomal RNA
Rfam family: Bacterial small subunit ribosomal RNA
Source: RNAcentral
GACGGAGGGUGCAAGCGUUGUUCGGAAUUACUGGCGUAAGCGCGGGCAGGUGGCCUUUUAAGUCCUUUGUGAAAUUCCGGAGCUCAACUCCGGAUGUGCAUAGGAUACUGGAAGGCUAGAGACUGGUAGAGGCGAGCGGAAUUCCUGGUGUAGCGGUGGAAUGCGUAGAUAUCAGGAAGAACACCGGUGGCGAAGGCGGCUCGCUGGGCCAGUUCUGACACUCAUCCGCGAAAGCGUGGGAGCAAACAGG